AAAGUCUACAGUGUGCUUCAUGAGAGCGACUCUCUGUAAACUAAUGCAAAGAAAUAUAGCACAAGUCUUUUAUUUCCAGUAAUUACUACUCUGCUUAGGCAACAAGACUUGCAACCUCAGGUCAGGCCCAUGUGUCACAAGUACCUAUAAUAGUCAGCUCAAGAAGACGCUCCAGUUCUCUCUCUCCCACACCCGCCUCUGGGAGAAGCCACAUUUUCCAACAGGUAACCUUCUCCUUUUCUGGCCCAUUGGCCCUGCUCCUGGCCUGGUAAGUAGCUACUGGGCCAGAAACUGAUGGUGACCUGGGACUUCUACAAAGCAAUGAAUAGGGCCAGCUGGGUUCUUCCUCAUUGUAAUCUGAACAGGGAAACACGAAUUGACUGUGUUAGCAGCAGCUAGGUCUAAAGUAAAAUGCAACAGAGGGGUAGGAAGCUGGUGGAAAAGGCUCUGCAGAAGGAAGAGGUGAUAAAAAGUGAAAAAGCCUCAACUUUUUUCCAGGGCUAGACACAGAAGUGCAGCUGUGAAAGAGCAAGGAACUGCAAUGAUUCAGCGAAGUCAGAGCAGCAGGCACCUGCCAAUAUAUCACAGGUCGUAACAGAAGACAGAGGGCAAAUGGCAGGACCCCGAUUAUUUCCCGUAAGGCAAAGUUCCUCAGCCUCGGCACCACUGACAUUCUGGGCGGGACAAUUCUUUGUUGUACUGUGUAUUAUAGGAUAUUUAGCAAUAUCGCUGGCCUCUACCCACUAGAUGUCAGUAGCAACCUCCUCCCCAGUUGCAACAACCAAAAAAAAAAA
This is a long non-coding RNA of Herpailurus yagouaroundi (jaguarundi), 794 nucleotides long. RefSeq lists it as uncharacterized. NCBI's taxonomy places the organism in Eukaryota, Metazoa, Chordata, Mammalia, Carnivora, Felidae. The transcript is spliced from 2 exons. The record is from RefSeq and is a predicted model, not a curated record.